Long non-coding RNA from Apus apus (common swift), 783 nucleotides. RefSeq lists it as uncharacterized. The record is from RefSeq and is a predicted model, not a curated record. NCBI's taxonomy places the organism in Eukaryota, Metazoa, Chordata, Aves, Apodiformes, Apodidae. The transcript is spliced from 4 exons.
CUCAGUGGCUGCAGGGACCCGCAGGAGCUGCCACCACCUCCACCACCUCCACCACCACCUCCACCACCACCUCCUCCAGGAGCAGCAGGCGGCUCCCAGCAGUGAGGGCAGGACGGGGAGCAUCCCUCCCUCUGGAGCCGGUGCUCGCUGGGUAGCCCUUCAGCAGUGCCGUGCUGCCAGAAAUGCUUGCUGAGCCCCUGAGAGGAGGAAAUCUUAGCAGAAGUGUGGAGACUAUCCCAGAAAGACCCUUUGCAGAUUGACUCUGCAUCCUCAGAGCUGAUCUGAUCGGGGCCUACCAAAGACAUUAACGACGUCGAAAGUAGCCUACUUUAAGAGAAAAUAUGCAGAAGAAGAACAUUUACAUCAAGAUUACCAUGAGUAUUGUCCAAAACACCUGAUACUACCCGAGGACCGGACUUGUAUUCUAAAACUUUCUCUCCAGAAACUCCAAUUCCUGGAUGACCCUGAAGCCUAUCUCCGUAGGUCUGUAUUAAUUAACAAUCUGUUGAGGAAGAUUCACCUAGAGACAGAGAGGGAGAGCUAUGAAUACUUUAAGGAGGCUCCGUGUUAUAGGACUGCUUACUCUGACGCCCGAAAACGGCUGAAGCUGAUGGUGCAGGAGUGCUGUUCCCAGUCUCUCUAUUAUGAAGAGCUGCGUUCGUAUCGCAUCGUGCCUUACUCUGCAGAGAGCGCCGUGUAUGGGAUGGGCUACACCAGCAGCCACUUGGAGCAAAACUCUCAGUUGCUUAUUUAUAAAAUGAAUUAAAGUAGCUGUUAGACCCA